This 351-nucleotide ribosomal RNA is filed under the name uncultured Peptostreptococcaceae bacterium. Its description in RNAcentral is "partial 16S ribosomal RNA". It matches the Rfam family "Bacterial small subunit ribosomal RNA", at positions 17 to 363 of the family's 1533-position model. The record is from RNAcentral. Lineage: Bacteria; Bacillati; Bacillota; Clostridia; Peptostreptococcales; Peptostreptococcaceae.
UCNUGGCUCACGACNANCGNUGCCGGCGUGCUUUAUACAUGCAAGUCNAACGAAGCANUUUGUGUUUACAUGAAUUGACUUACUGGCGGACGGGUGAGUAACGCGUGAACAACCUGCCUUUAAGAGGGGGACAACAGCCGGAAACGGCUGCUAAUACCGCAUGAUAUCUUAAUACCGCAUGGUAAUAANAUCAAAGAUUUUAUCGCUUAAAGAGGGGUUCUNGUAUCAUUAGCUAGUUGGUGGGGUAAAAGCCUACCAAGGCGACNAUGAUUAGCCGGCCUGAGAGGGUGAACNGUCNCACUGGAACUGAGACACGGUCCANACUCCUACGGGAGGCAGCAGUAGGGUAAU